UACGUAGGGGGCUAGCGUUGUCCGGACUUAUUGGGCGUAAAGAGUGUGUAGGCGGCCAGGCAGGUCUGCUGUGAAAACUCGAGGCUCAACCUCGAGACGUCGGCGGAAACCAUCUGGCUAGAGUCCGGAAGAGGAGAGUGGAAUUCCUGGUGUAGCGGUGAAAUGCGCAGAUAUCAGGAAGAACACCCGUGGCGAAGGCGGCUCUCUGGGACGGUACUGACGCUGAGACGCGAAAGCGUGGGGAGCGAGCAGG
This 253-nucleotide ribosomal RNA is filed under the name uncultured bacterium. Its description in RNAcentral is "partial 16S ribosomal RNA". It matches the Rfam family "Bacterial small subunit ribosomal RNA", at positions 524 to 776 of the family's 1533-position model. The record is from RNAcentral.